CUUCCAUCCACAAUUAGAAUAGGAGAAAAAGAAAACAACGGAAAAUGAGCCCCAAGAAACAAACUGUGGACACCAGGUGCUUCACCAAAAGUGUAAAACAUCCUCAAAACCAGUGCCCAAUGAAACCGUGGUUUUACAGAAAUUACUGCUUAGUAUGAAACUGGAAAUCUGGGAGAAUUGCUUUCUCCUACACAAUUUAGAAACAUUCAGAGAGAUGGCACAGGAUUGAGAACAGCAAGUACACCAGUGGUCGCCGCGAUCCGUGGAGACUGGGGAAUGGGGAGUGACGGGUUUCUUUGGAGAAUCAGAAAUGUCCUGGAAUCGGACAGUGGCUAUCAUUGCACAACCCUGCAAAUGUGCGAAGACCCGGCGAACUGCACAGUUUAAAAGGCUGGAUUUUCAUGGCAAUUAAAACAAAUAGGUGGUACGUGGA
This is a long non-coding RNA of Suricata suricatta (meerkat), 433 nucleotides long. RefSeq lists it as uncharacterized. The transcript has 2 exons. Lineage: Eukaryota; Metazoa; Chordata; Mammalia; Carnivora; Herpestidae. The record is from RefSeq and is a predicted model, not a curated record.